AUUGAACGCUGGCGGCAGGCCUAACACAUGCAAGUCGAGCGGUAGCACAGAGAGCUUGCUCUCGGGUGACGAGCGACGGACGGGUGAGUAAUGUCUGGGAAACUGCCUGAUGGAGGGGGAUAACUACUGGAAACGGUAGCUAAUACCGCAUAACGUCGCAAGACCAAAGAGGGGGACCUUCGGGCCUCUUGCCAUCAGAUGUGCCCAGAUGGGAUUAGCUAGUAGGUGGGGUAACGGCUAACCUAGGCGACGAUCCCUAGCUGGUCUGAGAGGAUGACCAGCCACACUGGAACUGAGACACGGUCCAGACUCCUACGGGAGGCAGCAGUGGGGAAUAUUGCACAAUGGGCGCAAGCCUGAUGCAGCCAUGCCGCGUGUAUGAAGAAGGCCUUCGGGUUGUAAAGUACUUUCAGCGGGGAGGAAGGCGAUAAGGUUAAUAACCUUGUCGAUUGACGUUACCCGCAGAAGAAGCACCGGCUAACUCCGUGCCAGCAGCCGCAGUAA
This 504-nucleotide ribosomal RNA is filed under the name uncultured bacterium. RNAcentral describes it as "partial 16S ribosomal RNA". It matches the Rfam family "Bacterial small subunit ribosomal RNA", at positions 30 to 523 of the family's 1533-position model. The record is from RNAcentral.